CCUACGGGUGGCAGCAGUGAGGAAUAUUGGUCAAUGGCCGGAAGGCUGAACCAGCCAUGCCGCGUGAAGGUCAGUGCCCUAUGGGCGUUAAACUUCUUUUGUGCGGGAGCAAUAAUGGUCACGUGUGGCCAGACGAGAGUACCGUACGAAUAAGCAUCGGCUAACUCCGUGCCAGCAGCCGCGGUAAUACGGGGGAUGCAAGCGUUAUCCGGGUUUAUUGGGUUUAAAGGGUGCGUAGGCUGUGAGGUAAGUCAGCGGUGAAAUGCCCCCGCUCAACGGGGUGAAGUGCCAUUGAUACUGCCUGGCUGGAGUGCGGAUGCCGUGGGAGGAAUGUGUGGUGUAGCGGUGAAAUGCAUAGAUAUCACACAGAACACCGAUUGCGAAGGCAUCUCACGAAUCCGCGAUUGACGCUGAUGCACGAAAGCGUGGGUAUCAAACAGGAUUAGAUACCCCAGUAGUC
RNAcentral lists this ribosomal RNA (460 nucleotides) under uncultured bacterium. RNAcentral's name for it is "partial 16S ribosomal RNA". It matches the Rfam family "Bacterial small subunit ribosomal RNA", at positions 338 to 795 of the family's 1533-position model. The record is from RNAcentral.